ACACGGGGCAUGCCUUAGUACGGCGAGUGAAGCGGCAAAAGCUCAAAUUUGAAAUCUGGUACCUUCGGUGCCCGAGUUGUAAUUUGGAGAGGGCAACUUUGGGGCCGUUCCUUGUCUAUGUUCCUUGGAACAGGACGUCAUAGAGGGUGAGAAUCCCGUGUGGCGAGGAGUGCGGUUCUUUGUAAAGUGCCUUCGAAGAGUCGAGUUGUUUGGGAAUGCAGCUCUAAGUGGGUGGUAAAUUCCAUCUAAAGCUAAAUAUUGGCGAGAGACCGAUAGCGAACAAGUACAGUGAUGGAAAGAUGAAAAGAACUUUGAAAAGAGAGUGAAAAAGUACGUGAAAUUGUUGAAAGGGAAGGGCAUUUGAUCAGACAUGGUGUUUUGUGCCCUCUGCUCCUUGUGGGUAGGGGAAUCUCGCAUUUCACUGGGCCAGCAUCAGUUUUGGUGGCAGGAUAAAUCCAUAGGAAUGUAGCUUGCCUCGGUAAGUAUUAUAGCCUGUGGGAAUACUGCCAGCUGGGACUGAGGACUGCGACGUAACUCAAGGAUGCUGGCAUAAUGGUUAUAUGCCGCCCGACCUGAAUCGAGGGACCACAAAAUGGGG
RNAcentral lists this ribosomal RNA (598 nucleotides) under Saccharomyces cerevisiae (brewer's yeast). Its description in RNAcentral is "partial 26S ribosomal RNA". It matches the Rfam family "Eukaryotic large subunit ribosomal RNA", at positions 66 to 664 of the family's 3401-position model. The record is from RNAcentral. Lineage: Eukaryota; Fungi; Ascomycota; Saccharomycetes; Saccharomycetales; Saccharomycetaceae.